GUCUUCGGAUUGUAAAGCACUUUAAGUUGGGAGGAAGGGUUGUAGAUUAAUACUCUGCAAUUUUGACGUUACCGACAGAAUAAGCACCGGCUAACUCUGUGCCAGCAGCCGCGGUAAUACAGAGGGUGCAAGCGUUAAUCGGAAUUACUGGGCGUAAAGCGCGCGUAGGUGGUUCGUUAAGUUGGAUGUGAAAUCCCCGGGCUCAACCUGGGAACUGCAUCCAAAACUGGCGAGCUAGAGUAUGGUAGAGGGUGGUGGAAUUUCCUGUGUAGCGGUGAAAUGCGUAGAUAUAGGAAGGAACACCAGUGGCGAAGGCGACCACC
Molecule: ribosomal RNA, 323 nt
Filed under: Pseudomonas sp.
Lineage: Bacteria; Pseudomonadati; Pseudomonadota; Gammaproteobacteria; Pseudomonadales; Pseudomonadaceae
Description: bacterial SSU rRNA
Rfam family: Bacterial small subunit ribosomal RNA
Source: RNAcentral